This 388-nucleotide ribosomal RNA is filed under the name uncultured bacterium. RNAcentral's name for it is "bacterial SSU rRNA". It matches the Rfam family "Bacterial small subunit ribosomal RNA", at positions 29 to 418 of the family's 1533-position model. The record is from RNAcentral.
ACGAACGCUGGCGGCGUGCUUAACACAUGCAAGUCGAGCGGUAAGGCCCUUUCGGGGGUACACGAGCGGCGAACGGGUGAGUAACACGUGGGUGACCUGCCUUUAGCUCUGGGAUAAGCCUGGGAAACCGGGUCUAAUACCGGAUAUGACUCCGCGGCGCAUGUUGUGGGGUGGAAAGCCUUGUGCGGCUAGAGAUGGGCCCGCGGCCUAUCAGCUUGUUGGUGGGGUGAUGGCCUACCAAGGCGACGACGGGUAGCCGGCCUGAGAGGGCGACCGGCCACACUGGGACUGAGACACGGCCCAGACUCCUACGGGAGGCAGCAGUGGGGAAUCUUGCGCAAUGGGCGAAAGCCUGACGCAGCGACGCCGCGUGAGGGAUGACGGCCUU